Molecule: microRNA precursor, 59 nt
Filed under: Tetraodon nigroviridis (spotted green pufferfish)
Lineage: Eukaryota; Metazoa; Chordata; Actinopteri; Tetraodontiformes; Tetraodontidae
Description: Tni-Mir-29-P2d1_pre stem-loop
Rfam family: mir-29 microRNA precursor family
About the family: This family represents the microRNA (miRNA) precursors mir-29.
Source: RNAcentral
ACCGUUUUCCUCUGGUGUUUAGAGUAUUCUGCAUUUCUAGCACCAUUUGAAAUCGGUUA